AGACCACACCACCACAACUGUUACCACUACCGUCAUGCUAUCACCGUCAAUUGCAAAGGAAAGGAAUAUCGAGCUGAAUCGGUGGCUCUAACUAAUUGUAAUGUAUCUGAGUCUGACGUACAUCGCACCGCGGUCUUUCAGUUGUGAGAAUUUUUUUACAUAUUUCGAAUACGUAAAAUGAUUCUGGAAAAACUCAGUGAAAUACGUGAUAUGUACAAUAGUUGAAAUACUUGGUAUGUCGUUUCAGAGCAUUCAGAGUUCAAACGUGUGUAGAAACGUUAAGGAAUUUUUCCACUUGCAAUUAGUUUGCAAUGCAGUAACCAAAACCGGUAUCCUGUUACGAUUAUGAAAGGCCACCGUGUGCUAACUUCAGGGUUAAUAUCGUGGUUUUAUUAAAGAACGAACGAAUAGAUGUAAGCGACAGCGAUGUAAAUAGAAAUUAUUGUCUAAUAAUGUUUAAGGGUGUAAAUGUAGAAUGUAUGAUUUGAUAAAUGUGGUUCUUUUCUGGCUGUA
Long non-coding RNA from Bombus impatiens (common eastern bumble bee), 513 nucleotides. RefSeq lists it as uncharacterized. NCBI's taxonomy places the organism in Eukaryota, Metazoa, Arthropoda, Insecta, Hymenoptera, Apidae. The record is from RefSeq and is a predicted model, not a curated record. The transcript has 2 exons.